RNAcentral lists this transfer RNA (73 nucleotides) under Salix viminalis (osier). The record is from RNAcentral. Lineage: Eukaryota; Viridiplantae; Streptophyta; Magnoliopsida; Malpighiales; Salicaceae.
GUUGUUUGGUCGAGUGGCUAAGGCGUGCACCUAAUGUUUUCCCGCAGUGAGAGUUCGAAUCUCUCAGGCAACA